Molecule: ribosomal RNA, 372 nt
Filed under: uncultured organism
Description: bacterial SSU rRNA
Rfam family: Bacterial small subunit ribosomal RNA
Source: RNAcentral
CGUAGGGGGCAAGCGUUGUCCGGAUUUAUUGGGCGUAAAGAGCGUGUAGGCGGCCAUACAGGUCCGUUGUGAAAACUCGAGGCUCAACCUCGAGACGUCGAUGGAAACCGUAUGGCUAGAGUCCGGAAGAGGAGAGUGGAAUUCCUGGUGUAGCGGUGAAAUGCGCAGAUAUCAGGAAGAACACCCGUGGCGAAGGUGGCUCUCUGGGACGGUACUGACGCUGAGACGCGAAAGCGUGGGGAGCGAACAGGAUUAGAUACCCUGGUAGUCCACGCCGUAAACGAUGGGUGCUAGGUGUGGGAGGUGUCGACUCCUUCCGUGCCGCAGCUAACGCAUUAAGCACCCCGCCUGGGGAGUACGGCCGCAAGGCUA